Molecule: ribosomal RNA, 253 nt
Filed under: uncultured archaeon
Lineage: Archaea
Description: partial 16S ribosomal RNA
Rfam family: Archaeal small subunit ribosomal RNA
Source: RNAcentral
CCCAGGAGCCACAAGUGGCAACCACCUUUAUUUGGCCUAAAGCGUCCGUAGCCGGUUUUGUAAAUUUUCUGUGAAAUAGUUGCGCUUAACGUAACUGCGUGCAGAAAACACUGCAAGACUUGGAACCGGGAGGAGUCAGAGGUAUUUUGGGGGGAGCGGUAAAAUGCUAUAAUCCCCGAAGGACCACCUGUGGCGAAAGCGUCUGACUAGAACGGAUUCGACGGUGAGGGACGAAAGCUAGGGGAGCAAUCCG